GCCGCUGCGGCCGUAGUCGUCGGUGCCGGACUUGUUGUAGCCGCCCUCGUAGUCGUCCGUGCCGCCGCGGCGGCCGGUGUACCCGUCGCCGCCGCUGCGGCCGUAGUCGUCGCCGCCGGACUUGUUGUACCCGUCGCCGUAGCCGCCGUCGCCGCCCGACUUGUUGUAGCCGCCUUCGCCGCGGCCGUAGUCGUCGCCGCCCUCGUAGUCUUCGCCGGCGCCGGACCUGCCGUAGCCGCUGCGGCCGUACUCG
Molecule: long non-coding RNA, 253 nt
Filed under: Setaria viridis
Lineage: Eukaryota; Viridiplantae; Streptophyta; Magnoliopsida; Poales; Poaceae
Description: long non-coding RNA (SVIR_LNC008307)
Source: RNAcentral